GUGUAGUUGUGGCCCGCCAAAUCAGCCUGAGCAAUCAGAUGACCAGGUUCAAGCUGACACACAAUACUCUGCAAUAAGUCAUUUCAGUGAGAACAGGGAGCGUGAGGGACGAUCAGAAGAGAGCCCCAUUGAGUGUGUGUACUCUGAUGUGAAACACUCUGGAACAGAGACCUCAUCAUAAACAUAUGCUAAAAUUGCUGAUACAUUCUGCUUUUUUUUCUCCUGUUUUUGUUGUUUUGUAUUUUAGUUUUAAU
Rhinichthys klamathensis goyatoka is the source of this 254-nucleotide long non-coding RNA. RefSeq lists it as uncharacterized. NCBI's taxonomy places the organism in Eukaryota, Metazoa, Chordata, Actinopteri, Cypriniformes, Leuciscidae. The transcript is spliced from 2 exons. The record is from RefSeq and is a predicted model, not a curated record.